This 254-nucleotide ribosomal RNA is filed under the name uncultured bacterium. Its description in RNAcentral is "partial 16S ribosomal RNA". It matches the Rfam family "Bacterial small subunit ribosomal RNA", at positions 524 to 776 of the family's 1533-position model. The record is from RNAcentral.
UACGUAGGGGGCAAGCGUUGUCCGGAAUUAUUGGGCGUAAAGAGCUCGUAGGCGGUGUGUCGCGUCGGCCGUGAAAACCUGGGGCUUAACUCUGGGCGUGCGGUCGAUACGGGCAUCACUGGAGUUCGGCAGGGGAGACUGGAAUUCCUGGUGUAGCGGUGAAAUGCGCAGAUAUCAGGAGGAACACCGGUGGCGAAGGCGGUUCUCUGGGCAUGUCCUGACGCUGAGGAGCGAAAGUGUGGGGAGCGAACAGG